UAGGCAGAAGCCUGCAGGAUAAGGCAUUUAGCUGUUAACUAGAGUGUUAUGGGAUCGAGGCCCAUCUGUCUAG
Molecule: transfer RNA, 73 nt
Filed under: Tinamus guttatus (white-throated tinamou)
Lineage: Eukaryota; Metazoa; Chordata; Aves; Tinamiformes; Tinamidae
Rfam family: tRNA
About the family: Transfer RNA (tRNA) molecules are approximately 80 nucleotides in length. Their secondary structure includes four short double-helical elements and three loops (D, anti-codon, and T loops).
Source: Rfam by way of RNAcentral